CGUUGGACUUGUACACAUUGGUAUUUGGUUUUUUCGUCAUAUAGUUCAGUUGCUGUUGCUUGUAUUUUUUUUAUAAACCAGUACAGGCUCAGGGCGCUCAGCGAUGUAGCGAAAUUUCGGGCCGUCUUUCACAACAAAUAACAUCACAAUAACUGCACGUCUUUUUCUCUUUACUACAGAAUUCUUUUCCCUGUCCAUUGAGUUAUAAUUUCAAAAACUAACCAGUCGUUAUAACGUAAAAUAAGCGGGUAUUUGUGAACAAAAAUGCCCUUUGAUGACACGAAGUAACCAGCGCCAUCUUGUCUUCUCCAAACCUUACAAAUUUUCCCGCCAAAAACUCCCCCAAAGUCCCGUAUGUACCUGACGUCACAAGGUCAUCGACGGGGGACUACCAUAUUUGGUAAAACUAAAUCCAAUAUAAUUUUAAUCUCUUUACGGUUUACCUUCGCUAUUUUUGCUUUCCGCAUAUUGUUUGACCCAACCACGACUGUAACACAACAAUUUUUGCUCACUAAACAUUUUGAAAAUCAACAAAAAUACAGUAUUAAAUAAGAAUAUGCUCUUCGGGCGAACAUCGGGAGAAUCCGAAGUCGUCUGAGCCACUGACCUGUAUACAACA
This is a non-coding RNA of Paramuricea clavata, 619 nucleotides long. The record is from the annotation of a GenBank genome assembly. NCBI's taxonomy places the organism in Eukaryota, Metazoa, Cnidaria, Anthozoa, Malacalcyonacea, Plexauridae.